RNAcentral lists this ribosomal RNA (253 nucleotides) under uncultured bacterium. RNAcentral describes it as "partial 16S ribosomal RNA". It matches the Rfam family "Bacterial small subunit ribosomal RNA", at positions 524 to 776 of the family's 1533-position model. The record is from RNAcentral.
UACGGGGGGGGCAAGCGUUGUUCGGAAUUACUGGGCGUAAAGGGCUCGUAGGCGGCCAACUAAGUCAGACGUGAAAUCCCCAGGCUCAACCUGGGAACUGCGUCUGAUACUGGAUGGCUUGAAUCCGGGAGAGGGAUGCAGAAUUCCAGGUGUAGCGGUGAAAUGCGUAGAUAUCUGGAGGAACACCGGUGGCGAAGGCGGCGUUCUGGACUGUAUCUGACACUGAGGAACGAAAGCCAGGGGAGCAAACGGG